UACGUAGGGUGCAAGCGUUGUCCGGAAUUAUUGGGCGUAAAGAGCUCGUAGGCGGCUUGUCGCGUCGACUGUGAAAACCUGGGGCUUAACUCCGGGCCUGCAGCCGAUACGGGCAAGCUAGAGUUCGGUAGGGGAGACUGGAAUUCCUGGUGUAGCGGUGAAAUGCGCAGAUAUCAGGAAGAACACCCGUGGCUAAGGCGGCUCUCUAGUACGGUACUGACGCUGAGACGCGAAAGCGUGGGGAGCGAACAGG
This 253-nucleotide ribosomal RNA is filed under the name uncultured bacterium. Its description in RNAcentral is "partial 16S ribosomal RNA". It matches the Rfam family "Bacterial small subunit ribosomal RNA", at positions 524 to 776 of the family's 1533-position model. The record is from RNAcentral.